AUAAACUCUUGGCAAGCGGCUGCAUUGUCAGCAUGCUUGCAUGCAUGACGAUGCAGACAUUUGACAAGGUAACGGAAACGAAACAUGCAGCACGAUAGUGCGGAAUGUGAGUUUUCGUAGAAGUGCGGGAGAGUGAAGCUCGGAGCACUUCGUUAGUUUAU
Molecule: small RNA, 161 nt
Filed under: Lachnospiraceae bacterium
Lineage: Bacteria; Bacillati; Bacillota; Clostridia; Lachnospirales; Lachnospiraceae
Description: Clostridiales-1 RNA
Rfam family: Clostridiales-1 RNA
Source: Rfam by way of RNAcentral